GCCGCCUACGGAUCUCUUCCCAAGCACCUAGAACUUUCCAAAGCGUGCUUGGAAUUUAACACCUUGGUCGUCGAUCCCCGCAAAUAUACUCUGAUGAGACCGGCUUUCUUCCCAUACCGCCCAGGAGUUUCUCCAGGUGGCAUUCCUGUCGCCUUGAGGUGGAACAUCAGUAGAGGCUCGAGGCUGAAGCAAGCACAAUACACAAGAGACUCCGAUUCGUACAGGAACAUUUCGAAAACAGGAAAUCCUGAGGACAAUGUCCAAUUCUUUUCUAAAAGUCUU
RNAcentral lists this long non-coding RNA (282 nucleotides) under Homo sapiens (human). Its description in RNAcentral is "HSALNT0342426". The record is from RNAcentral. Lineage: Eukaryota; Metazoa; Chordata; Mammalia; Primates; Hominidae.